Non-coding RNA from Shinella sp. HZN7, 108 nucleotides. The record is from Rfam. NCBI's taxonomy places the organism in Bacteria, Pseudomonadati, Pseudomonadota, Alphaproteobacteria, Hyphomicrobiales, Rhizobiaceae.
GCGCGGGCCGUGUCAACCGGACGCGACAGGGAUGGCGGACAUGGUGGUUUUUCCGGUUUCUCACCAUGGCCAACGAAACGGCAGUCGAGCGCCCAACCUGUCCGGACC